This 427-nucleotide long non-coding RNA is filed under the name Nicotiana benthamiana. RNAcentral describes it as "long non-coding RNA (NBEN_LNC027308)". Lineage: Eukaryota; Viridiplantae; Streptophyta; Magnoliopsida; Solanales; Solanaceae. The record is from RNAcentral.
UCCUCUUCACAUGUAUUGUGACGGUUGAUUCUUUGAGUAAUGAUAUAGAAAUUUCUUUGCCAUCUCUUACAAUUACAUGUGAAGAAAUGGACUUUGUACCUAACUCAACCACAACAUUUAACUCGUGAGGUGCGAAUUUCCAAAAAGCAUAUAAGGAGACAACAAACCAUCCCUCAGCCAAUAUAGGACACUUAAUGAUAUAGAAAUUUUUUUGUCAUCUCUUACACAUGUGAAGAAAUGGACUUUGUACCUAACUCAACCACAACAUUUAAUUCGUGGGGUGAGAAUUUCCAAAGAGCACAUAAGGAGACAACAAACAUUUAACUCGUGACUCGUGAGGUGAGAAUUUCCAAAGAGCACAUAAGGAGACAACAAACAUUUAACUCGUGAGGUGACAAUUUCCAAAGAGCAUAUAAGGAGACAACAA